This 429-nucleotide ribosomal RNA is filed under the name Verrucomicrobiota bacterium. RNAcentral's name for it is "Verrucomicrobia bacterium partial 16S ribosomal RNA". It matches the Rfam family "Bacterial small subunit ribosomal RNA", at positions 355 to 776 of the family's 1533-position model. The record is from RNAcentral. Lineage: Bacteria; Pseudomonadati; Verrucomicrobiota.
UAGGGAAUCUUCCGCAAUGGACGCAAGUCUGACGGAGCAACGCCGCGUGAGUGAAGAAGGUUUUCGGAUCGUAAAACUCUGUUGUAAGAGAAGAACAAAUUGUAGAGUAACUGCUACAGUCUUGACGGUAUCUUACCAGAAAGCCACGGCUAACUACGUGCCAGCAGCCGCGGUAAUACGUAGGUGGCAAGCGUUGUCCGGAUUUAUUGGGCGUAAAGGGGGCGCAGGCUGCUUCUUAAGUCUGAUGUGAAAGCCCACGGCUUAACCGUGGAAGUGCAUUGGAAACUGGGAAGCUUGAGUACAGAAGAGGAAAGUGGAACUCCAUGUGUAGCGGUGGAAUGCGUAGAUAUUAAAAAGAAUACCGGUGGCGAAGGCGACUUACUGGGCUCAUUCUGACGCUGAGGAACGAAAGCGUGGGUAGCAAACAGG